UGUGUAGGCGGUUUGGUAAGUCUGGUGUGAAAUCUCCCGGCUCAACUGGGAGGGUGCGCCGGAAACUGCCGGACUCGAGUGCGGGAGAGGAAAGUGGAAUUCCUGGUGUAGCGGUGAAAUGCGUAGAUAUCCGCAGGAACAUCCGAGGCGAAAGCGGCUUGCUGGAUCGCAACUGACGCUGAGGGACGAAAGCUAGGGGAGCAAACAGGAUUAGAUACCCUGGUAGUCCUAGCCCUAAACCAUCAGGACUUGGGGUUUGCCCUGUACGGGGCAAGUCCCGUAGCUAACGCGUUAAGUCCUGCGCCUGGGGAGUACGGUCGCAAGGCUGAA
Molecule: ribosomal RNA, 330 nt
Filed under: uncultured bacterium
Lineage: Bacteria
Description: bacterial SSU rRNA
Rfam family: Bacterial small subunit ribosomal RNA
Source: RNAcentral